This is a non-coding RNA of Anas platyrhynchos (mallard), 2646 nucleotides long. The record is from RefSeq and is a predicted model, not a curated record. NCBI's taxonomy places the organism in Eukaryota, Metazoa, Chordata, Aves, Anseriformes, Anatidae.
CUGCAGCAAACCAAACAUGUUUGGGGAAGCUUUAAAUAUGAGGUCUUUGUUUUUUUUUCCUUGUCCUGCCACAGCCCUGGGGGAAGAAGUGCGUUAGAGGCUGCAAAACCUCCUGCCUUUGUUCCAGUGGUGCUUCCCUAGUCCUGAGCUCAAGGAACAGCACAGGACCUGGUUUCAGCAGCUUGGCUGCAUCUCCUCUUCUGUCAGCGGCCAGCCUGGAGGCCAGGUGCUGCUGCCUGCUAAAGCCCAUAACAUCACUGCGCUUCCCCUGGCGCUUGGGUAUGCCAGAGAGGAGCUGGAAGGAGCACAACAUUCAGGGAAGAUCAUCUAUUUCUGCGGCACUCGGCUGUUCAAAUGUGGCUGAGUGCUUGGGUGCUCCUACAUCUCCCCUUUGGAUCAGCAAAAUUUGAUUUAGUGGCGCAGCCCUGCGUGCUUCCAGCAGAGAUGCUGUGGUUUAGCUCCUCGUUGCCCUUCUGGAGUUGCUGGCUUUCAGCACAUCGCUCUGGGGGCAGAGCUGGUUUUGAUCUCACUUGCAGCAAAGGCAGAAGUAGCCCAAAUGGUGGGUUUGACCUCCCUAAAUGGCAAUGUGAAUCAGAUUGUGAAGGUAUCAUGAAAGGAAAGGAGGGUACGGUCUCAGCCAUGCCACCCUGCCUGUUCCCUCAAGCUGCCUGGAAUCCAGCAGAACCCAUACAGUGAGGUCUGUGACUUGUGGUGCAAAGCGUUUGUCCUCUUCCCUCGCCUGGAAAAAGCUUUGAGGUCUGUCUGCCUUGUGUACAGGUGUUCUGCCACAAGCGAGGGCAGAGAGCUACGGGGUGCAGUUCCAGGGGAGCUCUUUUAUCCCUGCCAACGGGCUGCGCCGCACAGAGCUCGCACCUGCGGAGCCAGGGAGGAGUGUCCAGAUGGGCUUUUAUUGGAGCCUUCCGGAGAAAAACUGAAGUUUGAAGUUAAUCCCUUGGAAAACACCAAGCUGUGCUUUCCCGAGGGGACACCAACAGCCAUUCCACAGCUGAGGUGUUUGUCUGAAAUUGUGGUUUAUCGUUUUGCCCGUCUGCUUUUCAGGAAGUGCCGUUUGGCUCCUUUUAUCACUUUCAGUCGUGUGGCACAGUGUCCCCAGGUGCACAUACACAUGGAGAGCUUACAAAGGGAAAAGGGUGGAAGCAACAGAAUCGCAAUACUGGCUUGGGGUUACCCCAGAUGUUUUCUGUUGGGCAUAGCAGCUGCAAUUCUGGGGCAACUGCAGCUUGGUUUUGGUGUUUGAAUACCAACCAGAGAGAGACUUCAGGUAUGAGGCAAACACAUUACAAGGACGCUGCCCCCAAAAAACUUAUGAUCAAUAUAGUCUAAAUAGGGGUGAAGACAGUCUGCACGCUGACCAGCCAGCAUCUCUGGACAAGCCAGGACCCAGCCAGCAAUGGAUAUAAUCUCUUGAGGUUGAAAGAAAUUUCUCUGUAUAGAGACUGGCUCUUCUCCAUGGCCCAGAGAAGUGUUCCUCCCGUAGUCCCUCUGCUGGGCUGUUUUUACUGAGAGCAGUUGGAAGCAGAGGUACCUGUGCUGGCAGCUGGGGUUCCAAAUCUCUGGCAGAGCAGGCAUAAGUGGCAGAAAGAGCUAUGCUUCCUGCAUCGGAAUCUCUGCGUGAGUUCCUUUAGAGAUACAGCGCUGCGAUCUGAUGGAUGAGCCAGAACUGCAGAGCACAGCUCACUGGGCUCCACCGUGGUUUUGCUGCCUCCAGUGACUCAGGCAGCUGUUGCUGGCUGCAUCCAGCUGAAGAAUCAGGCCUUGAUUCAGCACAGAGCUUUGGCAGAGGGACCCCAGCCAUGAGUAUGCUCAUAUUUAAUUUUCAGAAUGGAGAUAUUUCUAAAAUAGCAUUGCUAGGAAAAGCCAUGACCAGCUUUAACUUCCUUAGUUCAUCAGCCUGCUAUUGCCAAAUCCUACAACAUCUUUGUUAGCUGACCCUGCUUCUGUUACCAUUUCCAGCCACUGUCUGAUGCUCUGCACUUCUGCAGUCCCAUUUCCCUAACAUCUUUACUACAGUCUAAAGACAGUGGAAAAAACACUUCCGUACAUCUUUACACCAGGGUGCUGUGCUGUUGAAGUUUCUUCACUCAUACACCCACAGUUACAAGAAUUUGAGACAAAGUAAGCAAUACAAGGGCUCUGUCCUCAAACCCCCCUUUUAAGGAAGCAGCCCAGCACAUGCAAGUGAAAUAACUUGGCGUGUUAUUCAGCAGGAUCGGAUGCUGAGCUAUUAGAACCCCACAUAAUCCUGCUCUUGGCAGCAUCAAGGAAGAAAAUGCUAAUUUAGGCCAGAGUUAAUGUAAUUUUUCAAGUAAAUUAGAUUGUAUUUCACAUCACUUUGGCAUAACUGCCUUUUGGAAAAAAAUAUUGAAAAUAAAAUUGAAUUUGGUUUAGAGAGGGCUGAAUAUUCAAAUAAAUAUUGUUAAAUUAUUGGAAUAGCAAAGGUAUCACAUGCUGAUUUUAGCCAAUUCUCCUUUCUGCAUUGUUUUAAGUUGAGCCCAAGGAUGGCACGGUAUAUUCUUUCCCCAAUAAUUCCAUCGUGCUGCUGCAUCUUUAUGGUUUUGGAAAGUUGAGGUGCCGAGACUUACCUGUUUCCAUUGCGAUCACUGGUGAUGAGUCCCAGCUCUCAGA